AUUGAACGCUGGCGGCAGGCCUAACACAUGCAAGUCGAGCGGAUGAAGGGAGCUUGCUCCUGGAUUCAGCGGCGGACGGGUGAGUAAUGCCUAGGAAUCUGCCUGGUAGUGGGGGAUAACGUCCGGGAACGGGCGCUAAUACCGCAUACGUCCUGAGGGAGAAGGUGGGGGAUCUUCGGACCUCACGCUAUCAGAUGAGCCUAGGUCGGAUUAGCUAGUUGGUGGGGUAAAGGCCUACCAAGGCGACGAUCCGUAACUGGUCUGAGAGGAUGAUCAGUCACACUGGAACUGAGACACGGUCCAGACUCCUACGGGAGGCAGCAGUGGGGAAUAUUGGACAAUGGGCGAAAGCCUGAUCCAGCCAUGCCGCGUGUGUGAAGAAGGUCUUCGGAUUGUAAAGCACUUUAAGUUGGGAGGAAGGGCAGUAAGUUAAUACCUUGCUGUUUUGACGUUACCAACAGAAUAAGCACCGGCUAACUUCGUG
Molecule: ribosomal RNA, 484 nt
Filed under: uncultured bacterium
Lineage: Bacteria
Description: partial 16S ribosomal RNA
Rfam family: Bacterial small subunit ribosomal RNA
Source: RNAcentral